RNAcentral lists this ribosomal RNA (305 nucleotides) under uncultured bacterium. Its description in RNAcentral is "bacterial SSU rRNA". It matches the Rfam family "Bacterial small subunit ribosomal RNA", at positions 333 to 656 of the family's 1533-position model. The record is from RNAcentral.
GUACCUACGGGACGCAGCAGUGGGGAAUAUUGCACAAUGGGGGGAACCCUGAUGCAGCGACGCCGCGUGGGUGAAGGAGUACUUCGGUACGUAAAGCCCUAUCAGCAGGAAAGAAGGAGGACGGUACCUGACUAAGAAGCCCCGGCUAACUACGUGCCAGCAGCCGCGGUAAUACGUAGGGGGCAAGCGUUAUCCGGAUUUACUGGGUGUAAAGGGGGCGCAGACGGCAGCGCAAGCCAGGAGUGAAAGCCCGGGGCCCAACCCCGGGACUGCUCUUGGAACUGCGCGGCUGGAGUGCAGGAGGG